AACGCCUCACCCGACGCCACUCCUCGCGUCGUCAUCUCCUCCAUUGCCUUAACCGCACGCGGCGAUUUUCCUUCUCCCUGAGCGUACAAAGCCAUCUCUUCCUCCUUGAGCUGAUCCUCUUCUUUUCCCCUCUCCACUGCCGUAGUAGCCAUCGCCUUCUCUAGGGUAUCAUCGUCGGAUUUCCAGAGACGUCGGCUUAGCUUCAACCACGAGCAGGUUACCGAGGGGCAGACUUUGCCUCAUCUUACUCAUGUCUUCAUCGCCAUUGACAGCCACGGUCAAGCGAGCAUGCCCUAGGUGCUGCCUUCUCCCAUCGCAGUGCUUCGUCGUCGCUGCACGAGCAGUGCCGACUCUCCCUUCCCCUCGUGUCGCCUCCUGUCGCCACGGCUAGACAUCGCUCGCUAGCAUCGAUCAAAACGACAACCUGUGCCCUGGGUCGCCGAUUGCUUCUUCUCCAUCGCGACACUGCUAUUGGCCAACACCGCCGGUCCAUGCCCUCUCCCCCUAUCACUGCCGAUCUCACGCCUCAGCGUUGAUUACUGAUCACCAGAGAGGACUGAGCCACCUCCAAGCCCUAGUCUCACCCUCUUCUGAUCUUCUGCCCUAGCACCACUGUCGAUGCCAACAACCACCAUCAGACCCUUUUUGAUUCUUCACAGCCAAUCGAGGGUUUCCUGUGGUCAGAUUGAGGGUUAGGCAGUGGCGUAUCUUCUUGUCCAGCAGAGAGGUUACUUUGUUGUGGAGUUUUCUUGGAUCCGACAGUCACUCCUUCCAGCAACCAACAACCCUAAUUGGGCAGCAACUCUUUGAUUCUAGCAGCAAGAACGACUGUGAACUUGAGGUUGAGGCUGUCCGGAGAUCUCCAGUCGCUAGUCCCCCUGCAGUUCACGAGGAUAUUUGUUUGGUUUUAUUUUUAUUGUACUAUCUAAACUUGUACUAGUUUUGUUUCUAUGGAUAUGGUAUGGUUUUGUUUUAUUUGUCGAUGGAUUUUAUUGGAUUUGUUCUACUACAUGCCUGCCUAGAUGGUAGAAGAGGUGAGUUGAUUUUAUCGUUGUGAUUUGUGUUUUAUAGGUGUAGUGGAAUAGGAUAUCUGAUUUAUGUUU
This is a long non-coding RNA of Zingiber officinale, 1103 nucleotides long. RefSeq lists it as uncharacterized. Lineage: Eukaryota; Viridiplantae; Streptophyta; Magnoliopsida; Zingiberales; Zingiberaceae. The transcript has 3 exons. The record is from RefSeq and is a predicted model, not a curated record.